GAUGAAGAACGCAGCGAAAUGCGAUACGUAGUGUGAAUUGCAGAAUCCAGUGAAUCAUCGAAUCUUUGAACGCACAUUGCGCCCGCCAGCAUUCUGGCGGGCAUGCCUGUUCGAGCGUCAUUUCAACCCUCGAGCCCCCCCGGGGGCCUCGGUGUUGGGGGACGGCACACCAGCCGCCCCCGAAAUGCAGUGGCGACCUCGCCGCAGCCUCCCCUGCGUAGUAGCACACACCUCGCACCGGAGCGCGGAGACGGUCACGCCGUAAAACGCCCAACUUCUUAGAGUUGACCUCGGAUCAGGUAGGAAUACCCGCUGAACUUAAGCAUAUCAAUAAGCGGAGGA
RNAcentral lists this unclassified non-coding RNA (342 nucleotides) under soil metagenome. RNAcentral's name for it is "partial contains 5.8S ribosomal RNA, internal transcribed spacer 2, and large subunit ribosomal RNA". The stretch from base 1 to 120 matches the Rfam family "5.8S ribosomal RNA", at positions 35 to 154 of the family's 154-position model. The record is from RNAcentral.